RNAcentral lists this ribosomal RNA (253 nucleotides) under uncultured bacterium. RNAcentral describes it as "partial 16S ribosomal RNA". It matches the Rfam family "Bacterial small subunit ribosomal RNA", at positions 524 to 776 of the family's 1533-position model. The record is from RNAcentral.
UACGAAGGGGGCUAGCGUUGCUCGGAAUCACUGGGCGUAAAGCGCACGUAGGCGGAUUGCUAAGUCAGGGGUGAAAUCCUGGAGCUCAACUCCAGAACUGCCUUUGAUACUGGCGAUCUUGAGUCCGGGAGAGGUGAGUGGAACUGCGAGUGUAGAGGUGAAAUUCGUAGAUAUUCGGAAGAACACCAGUGGCGAAGGCGGCUCACUGGCCCGGUACUGACGCUGAAAUACGAAAGCGUGGGGAGCAAACAGG